Molecule: transfer RNA, 102 nt
Organism: Verticillium longisporum
Lineage: Eukaryota; Fungi; Ascomycota; Sordariomycetes; Glomerellales; Plectosphaerellaceae
Rfam family: tRNA
About the family: Transfer RNA (tRNA) molecules are approximately 80 nucleotides in length.
Source: Rfam
GCGCGAUUGGUUUAGUGGUAUAACGUCUGCUUAGCAUCCGAGAUCAUGAGAUCGUGAGAUACUAUCUGCUGAAGGUCGCGCGUUCGAUUCGCGCAUUGUCCA